GCUUCUCUUGAGAGCGGCGGACGGGUGAGUAAUACCUAGGAAUCUGCCUGAUAGUGGGGGAUAACGUUCGGAAACGGACGCUAAUACCGCAUACGUCCUACGGGAGAAAGCAGGGGACCUUCGGGCCUUGCGCUAUCAGAUGAGCCUAGGUCGGAUUAGCUAGUUGGUGAGGUAAUGGCUCACCAAGGCUACGAUCCGUAACUGGUCUGAGAGGAUGAUCAGUCACACUGGAACUGAGACACGGUCCAGACUCCUACGGGAGGCAGCAGUGGGGAAUAUUGGACAAUGGGCGAAAGCCUGAUCCAGCCAUGCCGCGUGUGUGAAGAAGGUCUUCGGAUUGUAAAGCACUUUAAGUUGGGAGGAAGGGUAUUAACCUAAUACGUUAGUACUUUGACGUUACCGACAGAAUAAGCACCGGCUAACUCUGUGCCAGCAGCCGCGGUAAUACAGAGGGUGCAAGCGUUAAUCGGAAUUACUGGGCGUAAAGCGCGCGUAGGUGGUUUGUUAAGUUGAAUGUGAAAUCCCCGGGCUCAACCUGGGAACUGCAUCCAAAACUGGCAAGCUAGAGUAUGGUAGAGGGUAGUGGAAUUUCCUGUGUAGCGGUGAAAUGCGUAGAUAUAGGAAGGAACACCAGUGGCGAAGGCGACUACCUGGACUGAUACUGACACUGAGGUGCGAAAGCGUGGGGAGCAAACAGGAUUAGAUACCCUGGUAGUCCACGCCGUAAACGAUGUCAACUAGCCGUUGGGAGUCUUGAACUCUUAGUGGCGCAGCUAACGCAUUAAGUUGACCGCCUGGGGAGUACGGCCGCAAGGUUAAAACUCAAAUGAAUUGAC
This 836-nucleotide ribosomal RNA is filed under the name Pseudomonas sp. Its description in RNAcentral is "bacterial SSU rRNA". It matches the Rfam family "Bacterial small subunit ribosomal RNA", at positions 82 to 914 of the family's 1533-position model. The record is from RNAcentral. Lineage: Bacteria; Pseudomonadati; Pseudomonadota; Gammaproteobacteria; Pseudomonadales; Pseudomonadaceae.